Molecule: transfer RNA, 95 nt
Organism: Coniochaeta ligniaria NRRL 30616
Lineage: Eukaryota; Fungi; Ascomycota; Sordariomycetes; Coniochaetales; Coniochaetaceae
Rfam family: tRNA
About the family: Transfer RNA (tRNA) molecules are approximately 80 nucleotides in length. Their secondary structure includes four short double-helical elements and three loops (D, anti-codon, and T loops). Further hydrogen bonds mediate the characteristic L-shaped molecular structure. tRNAs have two regions of fundamental functional importance: the anti-codon, which is responsible for specific mRNA codon recognition, and the 3' end, to which the tRNAs corresponding amino acid is attached (by aminoacyl-tRNA synthetases). tRNAs cope with the degeneracy of the genetic code in two manners: having more than one tRNA (with a specific anti-codon) for a particular amino acid; and 'wobble' base-pairing, i.e. permitting non-standard base-pairing at the 3rd anti-codon position.
Source: Rfam
UCCUCCAUAGCUCAGUUGGCUAGAGCGUCUGACUGUUACCGUCCUCGGACAAGCAGUUUAUCAGGAGGUCCACAGUUCAAACCUGUGUGGGGGAG